AGCGCUGCCAGACAGUCGCGGGGCUCCGGCUCUCCGCCGGGGGGCGCCUCGCCGCCUCCCCUCUGCCUUGCGGCUUCCCGGGAGUGGAAGCACCCAGACCCGCUGACUCAGGGUGAGGAAACUGAGGUACAGUGGUUUGCCCAAGGUCAUGGAGCUAGGAGGUGGCUGAAGCAGGGUUCAAAUCCAGAUGUGCAAGUGGAAGCUCCGAGGCAUUAAGUGACUGAGGCAGCAGGAGCGACCUUGGGACCUGGUGACUGAGUCUGUGACUCCCCCGCCCUGAGCAUUCUGCUGCUGAACCCCAAGUAGCAAGAUGCUCCUCCACCGAUGGAGCUGCCUUCUCAAGCAUGAUCACACUCCAUCUUCACAGUCCCGGGAGGCAGCCAUCUCCACGCCCACUGUACAGUUGAAGACCCUGAGGCUCAAGGGAAGGGAUGUGCACAGGGACAUGCACAAAACUGGAAACAUGUCAAAGCAAACCUUAUCUUGCAGUAUUGUGCAAUUUGAGUUGAAUAAGAGAUAAAAAUGUG
Long non-coding RNA from Hipposideros armiger (great roundleaf bat), 527 nucleotides. RefSeq lists it as uncharacterized. Lineage: Eukaryota; Metazoa; Chordata; Mammalia; Chiroptera; Hipposideridae. The transcript is spliced from 3 exons. The record is from RefSeq and is a predicted model, not a curated record.